ACCUACGGGAGGCAGCAGUGAGGAAUAUUGGUCAAUGGGCGGGAGCCUGAACCAGCCAAGUCGCGUGAGGGAAGACGGUCCUAUGGAUUGUAAACCUCUUUAGGCGGGGAGCAAUGCCGGGCACGCGUGUCCGGAGGGAGAGUACCCGCAGAAUAAGCAUCGGCUAACUCCGUGCCAGCAGCCGCGGUAAUACGGAGGAUGCGAGCGUUAUCCGGAUUUAUUGGGUUUAAAGGGUGCGCAGGCGGGCUGUUAAGCCAGCGGUAAAAAUUCAGGGCUCAACCCUGUCGGGCCGUCGGAACUGGCGG
Molecule: ribosomal RNA, 305 nt
Filed under: uncultured bacterium
Lineage: Bacteria
Description: bacterial SSU rRNA
Rfam family: Bacterial small subunit ribosomal RNA
Source: RNAcentral